Molecule: long non-coding RNA, 12300 nt
Filed under: Cicer arietinum (chickpea)
Lineage: Eukaryota; Viridiplantae; Streptophyta; Magnoliopsida; Fabales; Fabaceae
Description: long non-coding RNA (CARI_LNC002146)
Source: RNAcentral
UUGUGUGGUUAAGAGGUUCAUUGCUGUGAGGGAUAAGAUUUUGCAGUGAACUAUGGCUUCUGCAUCAGCAUCUCUUCUCAAGUCAUCACCUGUUCUCGACAAGUCUGAAUGGGUGAAGGGACAAACCCUCCUCCGACAACCUUCUAUGUCAGUCGUAAGAUGCAACCCCGCCGCUCCAUCGAGUCUCACCAUCAGAGCUGGUUCCUAUUCUGACGAGCUCGUCAAGACCGCGGUAUGAUAGUUAAAACAACUUUGCCAAAUACUCAUACUAGAAGCAUCUUAUAACUGAACAUAGUUGUUCAAAUAAAUAUGCUAGUAAAAAUAUAGAUUCACAACCAUAUAAGUUUUAAUUCUUCUUUGCACAGUGGACUUCUAGUUUUCAAACUAGCUUGUUGGUUAAAACAUGUAUACUAUUGAUGAACUUCAAUUAUAACUUUUCCUGUUCUUGUGUGUGUGCGGAUGUAUACAGAAAACAAUUGCUUCACCGGGGCGUGGUAUUUUGGCUAUGGAUGAGUCUAAUGCUACAUGUGGGAAGCGUUUGGCUUCAAUUGGGUUAGAGAACACUGAAGUUAAUCGCCAAGCAUGGCGUACCCUUCUGGUGACAGUUCCAACACUUGGACAGUACAUUUCUGGUGCCAUUCUCUUUGAGGAGACUCUCUACCAAUCCACUACUGAUGGAAGGAAAAUUGUCGAUGUGCUUACCGAGCAAAACAUUGUUCCCGGUAUCAAAGUUGACAAGGUAAGCCAUUUGGAAUUGCUCUAUGUAAUUCCAACUAAUGAAUUUUCAAUUUGUUAGUUAGUUAAAUGAUGAAUUUUCAGUUUGUGCUAUGCUGAACAAAUAAUGAAUUUUCAGUUUGCUAGUUAGUUAAAUGAUGAAUUUUUAGUUUGUGCUAUGCUGAACAAAUAAUGAAAAGAAUAAGCCCGAGUGCUAGAUUAUACUUUUAUGAUAUCUACUUAAGUUUAUUUUUACCAUCAUUCGUAGUUGUAAGUUUGUCCAUAUAGAGAGAUGUGUCAUACAGUUAUAGGAAAUAAAUUGAAAAUUGACGUUUCAGUUUUCAAGCAAACAUCAUUGAAGUUAUUCGGUACCUUCAUUGAGACUUACGUAUAUGAAAUGAUUAUAUCAGGACAAUAAGCAAACCUUCCUUUUGAGGGAGUGAGGAAAUAUUUAUGGGAAUUGAACCAUUUGGGCACUCUCAUUUUCCAAUAAAACAUCAAACAAUAAUAUCUACUAAAAGUAGUGUAAUUUUUUCUUGGUUGGUACUAGUAGUAUGGUAUUUUAUCAGGCAGAGAUGAUUUUUAAAACAUGGUUUAUGUACUGAGAACAAUAGGGUCUGGUGCCCCUAGCUGGUUCCAACGAUGAGUCAUGGUGCCAAGGUCUAGACGGUCUUGCGUCUCGUUCAGCUGCAUACUACCAGCAAGGUGCCCGUUUCGCCAAAUGGUUAGUGUGUACUUGAUCUCCCUGUGGAAGAAAAUCAGAAUUGCAUGCACUUAUUUGUUUAUUUGAAACUUGUCAUGCUUUUUUUUUAACCUCAUGAAUUUCAAUCACAUAUUAGGCGUACUGUUGUGAGCAUCCCAAACGGUCCCUCUGCUCUGGCAGUCAAGGAAGCAGCCUGGGGUCUGGCUCGCUAUGCUGCUAUUAGUCAGGUGAGAAAACCACUCAAAUUAUAUAAGUAAUUCCUUUUAAUGCAUAGUUAUUAAAUCAAUAGUUCUUUCAAGUUUUAUAAAAUGUCUGUGGCUACUAUAGUUACUGAUAUGUCCGUCGUAUUUGACUGCCAUUUUCUAUAAUAACAAAGAUCGCUACAUGAGAGUGAUUUAAAACAUUGUCUUCGAUUUGAUACUUUUUAAACAUCUAGGAAGCAGGCCUUUAUAUUUCUAUUGUUAUCUGAAGGGCAAAAAUAUGUUCAUUUAAUGGUUUGUUAGGACAAUGGGUUGGUCCCAAUUGUGGAACCAGAGAUCUUGCUUGAUGGAGAACACGGUAUUGACAGGACUUAUGAAGUAGCCCAGAAGGUUUGGGCUGAGGUUUUCUUCUACCUUGCUGAGAACAAUGUCGAGUUUGAGGGUAUUCUCCUCAAACCUAGCAUGGUUACACCUGGAGCUGAGAGCAAGGACAAGGCCUCUCCUGCAAAGGUUGCUGAGUAUACCCUCAACCUCCUUCACAGGAGAAUUCCCCCUUCUGUCCCUGGUAUCAUGGUAUGUAACAUUAAUUAAAUACAUUAUUAUUUGUAUUCCUAACUUUUAUCUUUGUUCAUAUGCUGACCAAAGUUGUAUAUUGUAUUCUGUUAAUGUAGUUUUUGUCUGGUGGACAAUCUGAGGUUGAAGCAACUCUCAAUUUGAAUGCCAUGAACCAAUCUCCAAACCCAUGGCACGUGUCGUUCUCAUAUGCAAGAGCUCUUCAAAAUACCGCAUUGAAGACAUGGGGAGGACGCGCAGAGAAUGUGAAGGCAGCACAAGAUGCGCUCCUUUUCCGCGCCAAGUCAAACUCCAUUGCUCAGCUUGGAAAGUACACUGGUGAGGGUGAAUCCGAGGAAGCCAAGAAGGAAUUGUUCGUCAAAGGCUACUCCUAUUAAAAUAUUGGUAGUGAAUAUGAUGAUACAUGUUAGACAGCAGCACUAGCAGUUAAUGAUGGUGUUGACGGAGGAUUGAAUAUUAUGUAAGACUAAUUUGUCGAAAAUGUGUGAUGUUUUAUAUAGUCUUGGAAACUAUUUUUUAUUUUUCUCGUUUGUGGUUAUUAUUACAUGCACUGUUACAACUUCCAUGAAAUAUUUUGCUAUGAGUUUGUACUUAAAUAUGUCUUCAAUAUACAUCCAAAUGUUUUAAAAUUUGGCAGUCCAUAAAACCGAAUUAAAAAUGAGAGAUAAAAAUUUUGUUCCACAUGGAUGAUCCAUGGAAAGAAGGUUGCGGCAUGAUAUAUUAUUUCGUACUGAACUCGGUAUUGUUGAGGAAGCUCCUCUUUAGAGGUUAGAGUUAGACUCUUGACGACUAAUAUCAACAGAAGGGACCAAAUAACCAAAACCACUCUUAUAUUUGGUCUUCACAGCAUAUUCCACAGAGAACCCUGGGAAUCACAAAGCUUCAAGCCAACCUUCAUGGGAGAAAUAGCAUUAUGAAGGUCCCCCAUUAAGUUUAGGCCCUUGUUGGCAAUUUAUAUAGGCUUCCGAAUUGAGAAGUUUCCUACCGCAAUCUCUUGUAACUCAAAUAUUAAAGUCCUACAUUGGAUAAUUUAUACAUGUGAGAUUUUUCAUCACUAUAUAAAGAGUGCCAAAUUUUUGUAAAAAGUACAUCAAAACUAAAUGCAAUUUACAAAUUCCCCUCUUCUGCUCGAUGCAUUUUUGCAACUAAGAUGAUAAUUUUGUUCUUUUAAUUUUAACUAAUAAUAAAAAUAAAUGUUAUAUUUUGCUAAAAAGCUAUAUAAAUUAUAAUUGAAGUUAAAAGAAUGUGUUCUUUUAAGUUAAACAAAUAUUUUUUUAAAUUGAAAUAAUGGUAUUUCACCACAUAGUUGCUGCUACCUUUGUGCAACACGGGCGUCGAAACAUGAGAUACCUCAUGGCUGAGUUAGGUGAGAGUAAGGGAAAAUAUAUUAGGUCGAACUAGGUUUUGUAAGACUUAAGUCUAAUCUAAUUAAAAAACUAAAGUCUAAGUUUAAUCAAUUAUCUGUCACGAGAAUAUUUUUAGGACUUUUGUGACCUUUGUGCUUUUUAGUCUAUGGAAUGUUAAUGUCUUUCAAUAAAAUUUAAUGUAAACUAGGCCAUAGGUUUUAAUUUGUCGAUCUCAAUCAAAUCUAUUUUCAUCUAUGUGAACCGAGUUUUAUCCCUCGAGUCAGGUAGGACUACAACGGGCGGCAAAAUUCUCCUUCAAGAAAUUUGACAUUGUUACAUUCCUAGGAUUGAAUUUGAAUCUUAAGCCUCUGAUUAUUCUAAAAGAGACUCUUACCAUUUCAUCCAAGUAAUUUUGGAACCUAAUUUUUGGAUUUGAGUUUCUUGACUUUUGUUUGUUGUAUUUUUUUUACAAGUUGUUUUUUUUAGUUAUUGCUUACUUAUAUAUAUAUAUAUAUAUAUAUAUAUAUAUAUAUAUAUAUUUGUUUUGUGUUAUAUGUUUUAGUUUUUGUUUUAAAUUAGAGAAAUUUACUCCUCAUCCCUACUUAUAUCACCCACCUCUCAUAUCACUUAAAAAUAUCUUUUUACCCUUUAUUAUUUUUUAUGAAAAAUAUGUUAUUAAAAGUUGGCAUUUACAAUCAACCUUUAUAAAAAUCACUUAUAGAAAAUUUUCAAAUUUUUGAAAUUUGAUUGAUUACAAAAUAUUCGAAAGAUGUUAUUAAAAGUUGACAUUUACAUUCAACUUUUAUAAAAACCACUUAUAGAAAAUUUUCAAAUUUUUAAAAAGUUGGUUGAUUACAAAAUCUUCAAAAUACAAAGUGAGUUCAGAUUUUUGGAAUUUGAAAGUUUUAUUCAGUUUAAAAGUUUCAAAAUAGAGUUUAUUAGAUUUGUUAAAUAUUUUCAAGAACUUUAACAACAAAAAUUGAAACGUCAACUUUUCGGAACUUUAAAACUUUCGAAACAUGAAUUUUUCAAAAGUUUCAAAAACAAACCUUUUGAAAUAUAAUAUUACAUUUUGCAACUUUCGAUUAAAAUGAAAAUUUCUAAAAUUUGGGAUAUUACUGAAAUUUUUUAAAUGUUUUUUUUUUAAAUAAUCACAUUAAUUUUUAAAAUUUUGUAUUUACAAAUUAAAUAUUAAUUAAACUUUGUAUAUUUUUUAACUAAUAUAUUUUAACAAAUUGAAUCAGGUAUGAGUGGAAUUGAUGGUGAAGUCCUUACUACACCGACCGUAGAUUCUACUGACAAAUUCACGACUGAUCAGGUACUCUUAAUAAUGAUUGAUAUUAUUAGUUUUUAAUGUAUACACAUAUGUUGAUGUUUGAUCUUAAAUAUAUUUUGUGGAUAUUUUUUUCUCAAGAAGUUGUAUUCGAAUAUACAAAAACUAUUGGAAGACAAAUGAAAUAAUAAUUGUUACCAUUAGUUCUAAUACAAAACUAGAAAAAGAGGAAGAAAUGACAAAUUGAUUUUGGAGUGUGAAAGAGGUGAAAGAUAUAAAGUAAAAUUUAAAUCAACAUUAACUUGUUAUGACAAAGGUUAUUGUCCAUUCAAACUGAGAUCUAUAUUGUUGAAGAAGUAUGAAAAAUUAGUGUUCGAUGUCGAACAUAUAAUCAUAAUUUAGUGGAUACUUUAUACUAUCAUUCUUAUUUGAGACAUUUAAAUGAAGAAGAGAAAAAAAUUUGUUAAUGACAAGACAAAGAUAAUCUCAAAGUUUCCACUCAAAUAUAUAAAGAAAUGAGUACUUAUUGACCAUCUUUGAGAGAUUCGUACAUAAAAAUGCAUCAUCUAUUGAAGUUAAUACAAAGUGAAAGUUAUGUGCAAUGGACAAGAAGUUGAGAUUAUAUAGAUGUUUUGAGAGACAUAUUUUAGACGCAUCUUGAUUGUAUAUAGUUGUUGAACAUGUUUCAUUUUGUUUUGAUAUGUGACAACACAUACAAAACAAAUAGAUAUCGGCUACCAUUUUCUUAAAAUUGUCGGUGUAGUAUCUACAAAGUUACAUUUUUUUUAGCAUUUGCUUACUUGAAACAAGAGCGACAACAAAACUUCUUCUGACCAUUUGAAAAGUUGAAACAAUUGUUCGUUUUUUAGAAUUUAGUAUAUAAAUUUAUUGUAGCCAGUAGAAAUCUUGCCAAGAUAAAUGUUAUUGGAGUUGUAUUUCAUAUAACAAUUAAAGCUUUAUUAGAUUGGAGUGAAGAAUUUUGAUCUUUAGUUUGGACUUAUUUGGACAAAAAGAUCAAUCUAUAUAAGGAUCUUUAUUCCAAUGUUUUAUAUGACAAUUCAAAAAAUAAGGAACUCAUUGAAGAUAUCUAGUUUGGGUGCUCAAGAAAAAGAAAAGUCGACGACUCUAGCAGAGAUGGGUUACAUGAUAGAAAUAAGAUAUAAUAUCGUGUUGGUGUCAUUGUCUCAUAAUUUGAACAUGACAUUCUUUCUACUGAAGAAACCACCAUGUAAUUCUUCUUGUAAUUCUAUAAUAACAAUUGUAUUUGUCAAUGAACUAUAUUGGAUACAUGAAAAAUUUAUGAUAAAAUUUAAUACUUUAAUAGUAAGUUAAUGUUUAAUAGUAAACUAAUUUUAAAUAUUUUAUUGUGAAGGUAAAAUUGAAGUAUGAUUGUCGUUUGUCGUUCACCUCAUGCAAAUGGAGAGACGUCUCAAGCAUUAGAAAUACAUAGAUCCAACAUUUAUCAAACAAUCAUGUGUUUCAUUAAAUCAAAAGUAAUUUGUAUGUGUUAGAUUGCACCGAUUGAAUUGUUGUUUCUAUAAAUCUACUUUAGUUGAUCCAUAAAAUUCACCAUGAAGUUUUAGGUGUGUUGUUUGUUUAUUUUGGACAAAUGAAAUAGUAGUUGCAUAGUUGAUCGAAAAUAAAAAUAAACCAUAAAGAGAAUUAUAUUCACGAUAUAAAUAAAACAGUGGUCAAACAAUAAAAUAGAACUCCAAAAUAAUACAAACUAUAAACACAAUCUACUAAUGGCCUAUCUGGAACAUGCAGAGUAACUCACAUAAUAUCUAAUGAAUUUAUCCAUCUCGAUUUACUAUUUUUAUGGCAUUUUGUAAGAGUUCAGAUGCUCUAGCGUCUUAUGCAAAAGAUAGACCGACUUAUCAAGAAGACGAUGGAACAGGUGGAACAUCAAGGAGGAUAUCAGGAUGUGAACAUCAAGUAUUGUUGAGGUAAAAACAUUCUUUAUAUAUAUUUUAAUGACAACAAAUUUUAUGAAAUAAAUGUUUAAGUUUUAUGAAUGGUGAUCUAUUGAUAAUUCACUUGAGUUUUAUUUAAGCAACGUAAAUCACAUAAAUGGACAAGCAAGAAACCAUUCACAUCAACAAGUUCAUAAAUAUCUAUUCAAUGGUGAAAGAAUCAAAGUAGCGUAAGAAGAUUACAAUAAUAAUAUCAUAAGCUUCAUGGAGAUAUUAGAAGACAUUUUUCCAAACAAGUUUAUGAACUCAUGAGAAUCAAACAAGUCAAAAGUUCUCCCAAAAAUCAAAUGCAACAAGUGUUCAAAAUGUUCUAAAUCAAAGAAUAAGGAGAAUAAUCAAAAUGAUCAUUUGAUACAUUAAGAAAUGUUUUAAAUGAAUAUAUUAUAGAUUCAAACAUAUAUGAAGAUAAAUAAAGAAGUCAAAGAACAUCUUUAUGCCAGAAUCUCAAAAUGACUAUAUCAUAUACUAUAUCAAUCAUUCAAGAUAAUGAUUGUUGAAUAUUCAAGAUAACAUCUUCAUGAACAAAGUAUACAAUAUAUUGAUACAUAUAUAAAGCAUCUCGGUGAUACUAGAUGAAUAAGACACAACAUGAGCAACACUAAGAGAAAAUGUAGGAAGUUUUGCUUGAACAAAAAAUUUAUCCUCUCAUAUAGAAGAUAAUAUUCUCAAUUGCUAUGAGAGAAUGUUCUGAUGAUGAAUAAUUUCAUUGCACUCAUAAAUAUUAAUAUCAAUUCAGCAAAAUAUCAAGAAUCGACUUUAAAGAAUAAAUUAUUUCAAGAUUGAGUCAUUUAUUAAGUCAUUUGUUAAAAGAAUGACAAAAGAACAUCCAGAGUGUUCUUCUUGUUCUAUUAAAGAACAAUUGACAAAAAUAAUCUUUUUGGAGGGCAACUUGCAGUAAAUCAGUUGGUAUUUUGCACACUGGCUGUCAAACUUAAUGGGCAUUAAAAAGAUACAAAGAUUGAAGGCCCACAUGCACAAACACACUUUGAGAUUGAUCUCUAGAUUGAUAAGUGGUGAACAAUGAUAAAAGGAUACAAGUACAUUGUACUAUCCCUUUUUUUUUUGCAAAAAUCUAGGCAUACUUUUGAUUACACACAGUGUCAAAUGACAGUUGACAGCUCACUAUCACACUUAUUCACGUUUUCUUUCAAACUCAAAAGUAAAAAGGUUAUAGGUUUGUGAAGAAUGUUUUGCACAAUAAUAUAAAUAUGUGUAAAAUAUUUUAAAACAGAUCUAACACUUGGUUGAUGUGUUUGACGACUAUUUUCAACUUUAUCUAAGUUUUUAAAUCUCUCUUCAUCUAUAAAAGGAAGAUCAAUCAGAAGAUAAAGACUCUUCAAGCAAAACUCAACUCUCUUCAUUAUAUAUUUAGAUCGUCCUUAUUGAGUUUUGCUUUCAAUUAAUCUCAAAUAAAGAGUUGAGAAUCAUUAGAUCUCAAACACAUUUAUCAUACACAUUAUAAUUGACUCAAGUCUAUCUUUUAUGUUAGAUUGCGUGUGUUUGUAAAAAUAUUUUCUAGAUUGAAAUGUGACUGUAAAAAUCAUUUCUAGAUUAAAAGGUGAAUAUUAUAAUUGAUCAAGACAAAAGGUGCAAAGGAGAACUAGCUCUGAAGCACAUAGGAAAAAUCUCUCACGGUUGUAAGAAUUAUCUUAGUCUGAGUUAGGUGAACCAAUAUAUAUUUUAGGUGUGAUCCUUUUAUCCCUUAUCUUGAAUUAUUUGCAUGCACAAACAAACUUCAUUAUAAUUGUUUUUAUUUACAUAUUCUUUAUUUCAUAUAAAUUGUCUACAAUGUUCUAAUCAGUUAACAACUUACUAAUCAACUUUUGAUUAUCAACUUUAAUCUUGAGUAAAGUAUUGUUACCCAUAAUAGCUCACGUCCAAUAAUCACAACAUUAUUAAUAUUCAUAUUUAUUGGUGCACUAAAUAACCUAUCACGAGGAGAAAUGUGCAAAAGAGUCGUGGCAUCAUUCAGUGUCAUAGUCAUCUCCUUGAAUGACAUGUGAAACGAGUUGGUCUCUCGAUGUCAUAUUUCUACAAAGACAAAUAUGAUAUCAACGUCAAUCAUCGUCAAAUAAGUUAAAGACAAGUGCACCAAUUUAGAUUCUUGAAUCCAAUGUUGUGUAAUAUCAAGUACCUCCACUUCAACAAACUCCUUCAGAUUCAAAUUGUGCAUGGUCACCUUCAACGGACCACGGUACUAUAAGUAAUUAAAAAACAUAAUAACAUAAUAGUAAAAUAAUGUACUAAAUUUCAUUACAAAAAUGUAUUAAAUAUAAUAUACUUAUUUUUAACUAACAAAACUUAAUUAAUUAAAAUAUACUUCUCUUUCCCAUAUUCUACAAGCCAUAUGGUGUUUUUAUUGUGUUAACACUGAUGUGUCCAGAGUUUUAUAUGGAAUCCACGCUCUUGGACCUGCUCUUUGGAUGUAUGAUCCCCAGCUUCCUUAUAGUCCAUCUUAUCAUGUUGGUUAUUUUGUUCAGACACGUUUACAUCAUUGUUAAUUUUCUGAAAUCACGUCUACGACGAUGUUGGUGAGUUAUACGGUUAGCCUCAUACAUAUGUCGAUUAGAUGUAGUGGAUGGUACUCUUUUGCCUACAUUGUCGGAGGUAAUAAUAAUUUAUUCAUUCCAGCCUUUCGUCCUAGUCACUAACAUAAAAUAAACAUAUGAAUAAUUGUAUGCCAAACAAAUAUCAAAUUUUUUUAAUGUUUCGAAAUUUCAUUUUUCCGAAAAAUUUGCAAACUUUUGACAUGGUUGAAAGUUUCAAAGAUUUCGUAAAUAUGUUUCGAAAGUUUCAAAGCGUUCGAAACUUUCAAAAAUUGUUAAUUCCUCUAUUUUUGAAGUCUCAGAUUGUUUGAAACUUUGGAAUAUAUUUUGAAAUUCUAGAAAUUACAUUUUAAAGGUUUGAAAUUCAUCAAAAAGUUCGAAAACUAACUUACUUGUGUUUUGAGGUGUUAGAAAAAAGUUUCAAAUAUUUUGAAAGUUUCGAAUAUGUGAUUGAAAAGCAAAGCAGCAAAAAUUUUCAACUUGAUAUAUAGUACAAAGAGUGAAAAUAUAUUUUUAAGUGUAUUAAAAGGUGAGGUGUAUAGGUGGGGGAGUGUAGAGUAUAUUUCCCUUUAAACUAUCUUCUCUGUGUGGGCUUCUAGGCCUGCUUUGGUAUUGCUGUUUUUUAUGAGUGCAUUUGAAUUGGAAUGAACCUUAUUUUCUUCGUGUUUCUUAUUUACUAGAGACCCAAAAGUUUCCGUAGCCCACAAAUGUAUUGAAAUUAUAUAAUAUUGUUAUAAAUUAUGUUGACUAUGUUAAUUAUGUUUUAGUUAUAUUAGUUUCCAUAGCCCACAAAUGUAUUAAUAUUAUAUAAUAGUUUCCAUAGUCCACAAAUUUAUUUUUGUGAAAUAGCUAUAUUAGUUAUGUUAACUACUCACUUUUUUUUUAAAUAGCUGUAUUGGUUAUUUCCAAUUACGUAAUUUUUUUUUAAAUUAAAAAAGAAAACGUUUGACUUAACGUAUUUUUGUCUUUUAUUUUAUCAAUGUGCACAAAAGUAGUUUUCCACUUUUAAAAUUAAUGACAUGUUUGACAUUAAUCAUGUGGCCAUGAUAAAGCACUAUUAAAUUUAUAUUUUUUCAUCUCAUUGAAAAUUAAAAUAAUAUAUUUUAGUGAUAAUAAAAAUAUUUUAAAAAAUUAAAAUAAAUUACAAAAGGAUGAAAUUUAAAAUAAUAAAAAAAUAUUUUCAGAAUUUAUUUUAAAUUUUUAAAAAUAAUUUUGUUAUUUUUAAAAUGGAUUAUUUUAAUGUUUGAUGAGGUGAAUAAAUCUAAAUCCAAUUUUAUUUUGUCAUCGUGUUUUUUUUUGUUAAAAUAGUUUAAUAUUAGACUCACAGUUGUCAAAAUUCUUUCUAUUUUCUCUCUUUAUUUGUCUUCUCUAUUACUAUAAUUUAAAUAAUAAAAAAUUGGUUGUAAUAAAUGAAGAGAUAAAGGUGAAGAAUCUCAAUUUGAAGUGAUCAAUAAUUUGAGUGUUUUUCCCUUUUAAAAAAAUUAAGUUCUGGUUUGUCUUGUGAGUUUGACUGAUUCUGCUAUGAUUAUGAUCUUAAACUUUUAGUAGGUUAAGCAAUAAGAUAAGCUUUUUUAAUUGAAGAUUUAAUUUUAGAUAAUUUAGGUUGAAGGAAGUGAUUAAUCGGUGGUGUUGUUCGUUGCUUCUUUGCAGGUUUUGAGUUCAUUGGUUUGAACUUUGAAGAUAUUGCUUCAUUAAUUUGUAGGACCAAAACUCUCAUACUAUACUAUACUGGCUUUGUGUUAAUUAAGGUAUUGUUUGCAUUUUCUGGUUAAUAAAAUAAGGAACUAAUCAUUUACUUAACUGUUAGUUUUUGUUAAUUUUCAAUUGCAACUGUCAUGGAAAAUAUUAUAAAUCACUAAAACCUUAUUUUUUGUCAUACUAGUAAAAUAUCCAUGAAUUUGUGUCAUACUAGUACAUGUUUGGUUAUUUCUGUAUGCUUUUCUGGUACCAACUUACUCAAAAUUGAUUAUGGACUUAACACUGUUGUAAACCACUACAUCAUGGAGGAAAAUUCUAGGGUCUCUUUUGCACUACUAAGGCACACAUUCUCUUCUACAAGAUGUAAAAAUUUUCAUGUGGCAGGGGGAAAAAAGAAAAUCAGAAGAAGGAGGCCACUGAGACAUGGCAUUGUUUGAUGACUCGUUACCCCAAUCUCACCAAUCCUGGUAUUAAAUGAGGACCAUAUAUCAUUGAGAUGGAGACAAAAUGAUUUAAUCAGAAAAGCAAAUUAUGACCUCACACUUAUUUUUCCUACAAACAAACAAUAAUAAUUGGUACCCUUUUUGAUGCAUGUUAUACAUAUGUACAACCUAGUUAGAAAAUGAGAAAAAUAUAUGUCUCCAUAAUAUUAUUGUUCAUUUUUUAAACGGUGAGAAAAAAACCAGUAAUCAGAAUGAGAAUGCCAAGCAAGCAGGAGUUAUCAUCCACAUGUCAUGUGAAGAUAGGUUGGCUCACAGCAGCCUCAAAUGAGACAUCACUUGACAAUAAUAAAUACAGAGAAAGCAUUGCUUAAGUUGUGUGGUAAAGAGGUUCAUUGCUGUGAGUGUGAGGGAUAAGAUAGUAGUUCUGGUUAAGCAGAUAGUGAAAAAUGGCCUCAGCAUCAGCAUCUUUUCUCAAGUCAUCACCUGUUCUUGACAAGUCUGAAUGGGUGAAGGGACAAACCCUCCUCCGUCAACCUUCUAUGUCCGUCGUAAGAUGCAACCCCGCCGCUCCAUCAAGUCUCACCAUCAGAGCUGGUUCCUAUUCUGACGAGCUCGUCAAGACCGCGGUAUGAUAGUUAUAACUUCAAAGUUAAAACAGCUUGCAAGUUACUAAAACUAGAAGCAAUAUUUCAUAGUUUAACUUAGUUCUUCAAGCAAACAUGCUAGAAAUAUAGAUUUACAACCAUAUUCAGUUUUAAUUUUUCUUUGCCUAGUAGAAUUCUAGUUUUCAAACUAGCUUUUUGGUUAAAGAAUGUAUACUAUUGAUGAGCU